This 406-nucleotide ribosomal RNA is filed under the name uncultured bacterium. RNAcentral describes it as "partial 16S ribosomal RNA". It matches the Rfam family "Bacterial small subunit ribosomal RNA", at positions 30 to 526 of the family's 1533-position model. The record is from RNAcentral.
AUUGAACGCUGGCGGCAGGCCUAACACAUGCAAGUCGAACGAGUGGCGGACGUGUGAGUUAGGUCUGGGAAACUGCGUGAGGGAGGAGGUUAGCUACUGGAAGCGGUUGCUAAUACCGCAUAGCAUCGCAUGGGCCCAGAUGGGAUUAGCGAGUUGGUGGGGUAACGGCUCACCAAGGCGACGAUCCGUACCUGGUCUGAGAGGAUGAUCAGCCACACUGGAACUGAGACACGGUCCAGACUCCUACGGGAGGCAGCAGUGGGGAAUAUUGCACAAUGGGCGCAAGCCUGAUGCAGCCAUGCCGCGUGUAUGAAGAAGGCCUUCGGGUUGUAAAGUACUUUAAGUGGGGAGGCGUUACCAGCAGAAGAAGCACCGGCUAACUCCGUGCCAGCAGCCGCGGUAAUUC